AGGAAUAUAUCCUAUCUAGUAAGUUCAACUAGGUAGUUGAAGAACAAAUAAAAAAAUUAAAAAAAUAAAAGUCAUAAAACAAAAAAGAAAAAAGGAAUACCUAGCAUAAAAAAAUCAAAGAAAAGAAUAAGUUGAUAAAGAAGUUUAUGUGACACCAAAAUCAUUAGCAGAUAAUGUAUAGAGGAGGAAAACUAAAAAUUUGUUGAUGAAAAAAGAUAAUAAUGGUAAUACUCACAAAAAAAACAUGAGAGAUAUUAUCCAGUCAUAUGAGAUUGUUAAUUAUCAACUACCUCCCAAUUAAUAAAACAGGUAACCAAUCACCCUAAUAUACCCUUCUACAUAAUUUAGUAGGUAACUUUGAUUUAUUUUAUUUCAAAGCUACAAUCUCUCUACUAACAUCAUUUAAAGUUUAAAAAUCAUAAAACAAAAAAGAAAAAAAAGAAUAUCUAGCAUAAAAAAAUCAAAGAAAAGAAUAAGAUGAUAAAGAAGUUUAUGUGACACCAAAAUCAUUAAAAGAUAGUUUAUAUAGGAGGAAAACUAAAAGUUUAUUAAUAAAGAAAGGUAAUAAUGAUAAUACUCACACAAAAAACAUAAGAGAUAUUAUCAACUCAUGAGAUUGUUA
Molecule: long non-coding RNA, 622 nt
Filed under: Lathyrus oleraceus (garden pea)
Lineage: Eukaryota; Viridiplantae; Streptophyta; Magnoliopsida; Fabales; Fabaceae
Description: Pisum sativum (pea) long non-coding RNA (PSAT_LNC017703)
Source: RNAcentral